This 358-nucleotide long non-coding RNA is filed under the name Olea europaea (common olive). Its description in RNAcentral is "long non-coding RNA (OEUR_LNC015528)". Lineage: Eukaryota; Viridiplantae; Streptophyta; Magnoliopsida; Lamiales; Oleaceae. The record is from RNAcentral.
UUGGAUCUGAUUUGCGUGAAUCAAUUAUUAUUGUUACUAGGGUUUGAGAUAUUAGGCAACACACACACUUUUCAUUUUUUCUCUGGACGGCAGUCUCCUUUAUCCUUCGUGUUCUCUCUGUAAUUUGUAGAUUUUCUCUUGUGAUCUGUUUGUAGAUCUUUGAGUGAGAGUUAAUUUUGAACUCUUGUGUGAGUUCGUUUAUGUACUGAGAGAUUUGUGGUGCUGUGAUUGGAACUUUGUGUUCCGGUGUGUUCUUGACACUUUUGCUGUAUUUGGCCGUUUGAUUUAGUGGAUUCAAGCUUAUUCCCUUGUGGAUGCUCAACGGGGACUAGGCGAUCUAACCAAUCGCUGAACCUCG